Long non-coding RNA from Neopelma chrysocephalum (saffron-crested tyrant-manakin), 266 nucleotides. RefSeq lists it as uncharacterized. Lineage: Eukaryota; Metazoa; Chordata; Aves; Passeriformes; Pipridae. The transcript has 3 exons. The record is from RefSeq and is a predicted model, not a curated record.
UUUAUUUCCCCAUUUAACAUUUUACAAUGGCAGGAAAAGCUGAAACCCCUGGAAAUUCAAAAUGCUGAGAAGUGAAUGUGAGACAGACUAUUCUGUUUUCAUUUCCCAAGGCCUAUUGAAUCUCAAAUUUCUUUUCCAUUGAAGGAUCAGCUUCAAAGGACACUCAAAGGAAUUCAAGCAUUGCGUUUACUCUUCCUGGACUGGAUCAACAUGAGUUCAUCAGUGCAUGCCCCAGAUUCCUGUUCCUGAUGGCACCACGAUGCAGG